RNAcentral lists this ribosomal RNA (440 nucleotides) under uncultured bacterium. RNAcentral's name for it is "partial 16S ribosomal RNA". It matches the Rfam family "Bacterial small subunit ribosomal RNA", at positions 338 to 795 of the family's 1533-position model. The record is from RNAcentral.
CCUACGGGAGGCAGCAGUGGGGAAUAUUGCACAAUGGGGGAAACCCUGAUGCAGCGACGCCGCGUGAACGAAGAAGUAUUUCGGUAUGUUAAGCUCUAUCAGUAGGGAAGUAAAUGAAGGUACCUGAGUAUGAAGCUCCGGCUAAAUACGUGCCAGCAGCCGCGGUAAGACGUAGGGAGCCAGCGUAAUCCGGAUUUACUGGGCGUAAAGGGAGCGUAGGCGGGUUGCCAAGUCUGAUGUGAAAUAUCGGGGCUCAACCCCGGGGCUGCAUUGGAAACUGGCAGGCUGGAGUGCCGGUGAGGCAGGCGGAAUGCGUGGUGUAGCGGUGAAAUGCGUAGAUAUUAGGAAGAACACCGGUGGCGAAGGCAGCCUGCUGGACGGUGACUGACGCUGAGGCUCGAAAGCGUGGGGAGCAAACAGGAUUAGAUACCCGGGUAGUC